RNAcentral lists this ribosomal RNA (292 nucleotides) under uncultured bacterium. Its description in RNAcentral is "partial 16S ribosomal RNA". It matches the Rfam family "Bacterial small subunit ribosomal RNA", at positions 505 to 796 of the family's 1533-position model. The record is from RNAcentral.
GUGUCAGCCGCCGCGGUAAUACGGAGGAUGCAAGCGUUAUCCGGAUUCAUUGGGUUUAAAGGGUGCGUAGGCGGAUUGAUAAGUCAGUGGUGAAAUCCUGCAGCUUAACUGUAGAACUGCCAUUGAUACUGUCAACCUUGAAUGCAGUUGAGGUAGGCGGAAUGUGUAAUGUAGCGGUGAAAUGCGUAGAUAUUACACAGAACACCGAUUGCGAAGGCAGCUUGCUAAACUGUGAUUGACGCUGAGGCACGAAAGCGUGGGGAUCAAACAGGAUUAGAUACCCCAGUAGUCC